RNAcentral lists this ribosomal RNA (1288 nucleotides) under Escherichia coli. Its description in RNAcentral is "partial 23S ribosomal RNA". It matches the Rfam family "Bacterial large subunit ribosomal RNA", at positions 1493 to 2759 of the family's 2925-position model. Lineage: Bacteria; Pseudomonadati; Pseudomonadota; Gammaproteobacteria; Enterobacterales; Enterobacteriaceae. The record is from RNAcentral.
GGGCGACGGUUGUCCCGGUUUAAGCGUGUAGGCUGAUUUUCCAGGCAAAUCCGGAAAAUCAAGGCUGAGGCGUGAUGACGAGGCACUACGGUGCUGAAGCAACAAAUGCCCUGCUUCCAGGAAAAGCCUCUAAGCAUCAGGUAACAUCAAAUCGUACCCCAAACCGACACAGGUGGUCAGGUAGAGAAUACCAAGGCGCUUGAGAGAACUCGGGUGAAGGAACUAGGCAAAAUGGUGCCGUAACUUCGGGAGAAGGCACGCUGAUAUGUAGGUGAAGCGACUUGCUCGUGGAGCUGAAAUCAGUCGAAGAUACCAGCUGGCUGCAACUGUUUAUUAAAAACACAGCACUGUGCAAACACGAAAGUGGACGUAUACGGUGUGACGCCUGCCCGGUGCCGGAAGGUUAAUUGAUGGGGUUAGCGGUAACGCGAAGCUCUUGAUCGAAGCCCCGGUAAACGGCGGCCGUAACUAUAACGGUCCUAAGGUAGCGAAAUUCCUUGUCGGGUAAGUUCCGACCUGCACGAAUGGCGUAAUGAUGGCCAGGCUGUCUCCACCCGAGACUCAGUGAAAUUGAACUCGCUGUGAAGAUGCAGUGUACCCGCGGCAAGACGGAAAGACCCCGUGAACCUUUACUAUAGCUUGACACUGAACAUUGAGCCUUGAUGUGUAGGAUAGGUGGGAGGCUUUGAAGUGUGGACGCCAGUCUGCAUGGAGCCGACCUUGAAAUACCACCCUUUAAUGUUUGAUGUUCUAACGUUGGCCCGUUAUCCGGGUUGCGGACAGUGUCUGGUGGGUAGUUUGACUGGGGCGGUCUCCUCCUAAAGAGUAACGGAGGAGCACGAAGGUUGGCUAAUCCUGGUCGGACAUCAGGAGGUUAGUGCAAUGGCAUAAGCCAGCUUGACUGCGAGCGUGACGGCGCGAGCAGGUGCGAAAGCAGGUCAUAGUGAUCCGGUGGUUCUGAAUGGAAGGGCCAUCGCUCAACGGAUAAAAGGUACUCCGGGGAUAACAGGCUGAUACCGCCCAAGAGUUCAUAUCGACGGCGGUGUUUGGCACCUCGAUGUCGGCUCAUCACAUCCUGGGGCUGAAGUAGGUCCCAAGGGUAUGGCUGUUCGCCAUUUAAAGUGGUACGCGAGCUGGGUUUAGAACGUCGUGAGACAGUUCGGUCCCUAUCUGCCGUGGGCGCUGGAGAACUGAGGGGGGCUGCUCCUAGUACGAGAGGACCGGAGUGGACGCAUCACUGGUGUUCGGGUUGUCAUGCCAAUGGCACUGCCCGGUAGCUAAAUGCGGA